This is a long non-coding RNA of Drosophila teissieri, 1950 nucleotides long. RefSeq lists it as uncharacterized. The record is from RefSeq and is a predicted model, not a curated record. The transcript has 2 exons. NCBI's taxonomy places the organism in Eukaryota, Metazoa, Arthropoda, Insecta, Diptera, Drosophilidae.
UACACGCUAAUAAAAGCAAGAGAUAUACGUAUAUAUAAGUUAACAACAGCUAAACGCUUCCCUUGGCCCCUCACACUAUACAACUGGUGUUACGGCUAAACUGUCAUCGAUCUGCAAGUGGGGCGUUUCCUGCCUCACCGCCGCUGCUGCCCCCGUAUCAUCGUCAGCACAGUUCUGGUAUUCCGCUGUGUCAGCCGAAUAUCGACAACAUUGUAUGGAGGUGCUGGGCCGGCACUCUCAGCAUUGCAACACUCGAGCGCGACAGCGAGAGUCACGUUGCGCUUGGUCAGCACUUAUGCUGGCUGGCUGAGGGCUCAACGGCUCGUAGCUGACGAGCCAAGCGACACUCUUGGGAGAGAAUCAGACUCGAGUAGACUUCAACUUAAUGGCAUUCAAACUUACCAAACUUAUUGUCACAAUAAAGAAUUAAAUUAAAAUUAAAAGAAUAAAAGCAUAUCGAUAAAAAUAUAAAAAACUAAUUUAAACAUCAUAAAUAGGUUUAGAUAUUUUUGCGAAGUAAUAAAUUUUGUAUACGGUACGCAAAUAAAUAAUAUUGGCAUGCUUACCAACGAACCCAAGUUUUUUUUAAAUAUAAGUCGCGGACGUAUGAAGACGUGUUUUUAUUGAGCUCCGUAUAAAAUCGGUUGAUUUGAUAAUAUACAAAUAAUUAACCCGAAAGCGAAAGAGACGCUCAGUGCGAUGCAUAAUAUACAUAUUUGCUUGUAUACAUAUUUUGUGUCCGAAGUAGUAGUAGAGUACAGUAGUAGUUUUACAUAUUCAAACAAAAAAAGAAAUAAAAAGAAAAACAAAAAUUAGAACAAAACUUGUGCCCAGCGAAAACGCAGCGAAUAGUCAAUCACUCCUAACCCAACAAAUUUACCUUUGCCAACAACUCAAGAAAGAGCGCGUUCUUGCUAUGCCUUACUACUCGUUACAAAUAAACACACGAAUCGCAUAACCGUCGUAAUAAAAAUAAAGAUCCUAAGAAAUAAUAUUUCGGUCGAGUCACUUGCAGAACUAUCAUUUGAUCACUCUCCAGUUCUACUUACUCUUAGGUAUCGAGCGGCCUUACAGGCUGACAGGUAACUGUGCAAGGUACGCGAAAUAAGUUAGUACUCAUCCAUGGAUCCAUGGAUGUUGAUUGCCUGACCAAAUCGAUCGAGGAAACACUUGGAAGGAUCUAUACAUUUAUACAUCGAACAACUAUCGCCCACCAUUAAAGAGAACGCUUUGUGAAAAGUAUACAAAAAUAUUCAGACACCGACAGAAACAGUCGUUCCAAAGUGAUAUUCCUCUGGGAGCUGGAUACGCAACGAACAUCUGAACAUCACUUGGCAGACGCAACAUUUAUCUUUCAGACCAAUCAGUCUGGACGUAAUAAUGUACAAGAUAAGAAAGUUGCUUCCUGGAACACACACAAAGUGCUGGAAUCUCAUCGGUGUAACAGUUUGACACGAACGGGUUAUCUAUGCUGUAGUCCCCCAUGUAUUGUUUUGGGCCCACAACUUCUACGUUUGCUGACGAUCUAUACUCCCAGCACAACUUGUCUGUCAUCUUAAAACAGUGAAAAUAUGGUUUUCGGACUAGUGCAUCAAAAUAAACGAGGCCAAACGCAGGCACUAAACAGACAAACGUGCCCACCCUGUACCCUGAACAAUACAUUCAUUCCAUAAGCUGACCUAGUAACAUUGCUCAGUCAACGAUUAUGCGAGCUAUCACUGAGGCACCAUAGGACCUACGCAGCGAAAGCAUCCAUAGAGACCUCCACAGAAAUCUUGUCAACGAGGAAAUUCAGAUAUUAAAAAUGUGCAAAUAUCUCCAGCUCAACAACGAAAUUUUAGGGCUGUUUCUGACUAAUACAAUUAUUUCUUAUUGUUAUUUAUCGAAUUUAUAUAAUAAGAUUUGAAUAAGUAUUGUUGGUCUCACGAUAAAAAACGAUCUAAAAAACAA